Molecule: long non-coding RNA, 406 nt
Filed under: Nicotiana benthamiana
Lineage: Eukaryota; Viridiplantae; Streptophyta; Magnoliopsida; Solanales; Solanaceae
Description: long non-coding RNA (NBEN_LNC033728)
Source: RNAcentral
GUUAAGCCAGUUUAAAAAGGGUGAGAUUCGGUAGGAAAAAAAAGAAAGAUAAGGAGAGGGAGUAAGCAUCCACUUCUCACUCUCUUUAGCCAUGGCUUUCUCUCCAUUAACAACAACGAGGUCAGUGCUUUUAAUCUUCCCUUUUUUGCUCAUUUCCAUUCUCUGUAAUUCGCUCUUUUAGUCAAUUCAUUCUCCGUAAAUUAUAAUUUUCUGCAUUUUUUUCAGUGGUUGUCGUAGUAGUUAUUGCAAUCUUGGAUUAAGCUGGAAAUCAUCUUCAAGCUGGUUUGUCCAAUUAAGGCUUAAUUCAAAUGGGUCAAAUGGGGUUUCGGCUAAACCGACAAAGCUCAAUGCUAGUAAAGUCUUUCGGGCCUGCUCUUCUUCUUCCGGUAUAAUCUCUUGGCUCCUG